Molecule: non-coding RNA, 217 nt
Filed under: Domibacillus enclensis
Lineage: Bacteria; Bacillati; Bacillota; Bacilli; Caryophanales; Bacillaceae
Description: T-box sequence
Rfam family: T-box leader
About the family: Uncharged tRNA acts as the effector for transcription antitermination of genes in the T-box leader family. T-boxes are found upstream of many aminoacyl-tRNA synthetase genes and some amino acid biosynthetic genes usually in Gram-positive bacteria.
Source: RNAcentral
UUAAAUGCUAGGACAGGGACAGUAAAGCAGCGCUAUGUAGCGACAAGCGAAUCGGGGACGGUGAAAGCCCGGUGGCUAGGCGAGCUUGAAGAUCACCCUCGAGCAUUUUCCGUGAAAAGCCAGUAGCGGAAAACGGUUCAUCCCCGUUACGGAUUUUGAGCGGGCAGUUAUGUACUGUCAAUCAGGGUGGUACCGCGGAAACCUUUCCGUCCCUUUC